Molecule: ribosomal RNA, 425 nt
Filed under: uncultured bacterium
Lineage: Bacteria
Description: bacterial SSU rRNA
Rfam family: Bacterial small subunit ribosomal RNA
Source: RNAcentral
CUUAACCGGGAGAGGCCGUAGAAGACUGCCGGGCUGGAGUGCGGCAGAGGGGUAUGGAAUUCCGGGUGUAGUGGUGAAAUGCGUAGAGACCCGGAGGAACACCAGUGGCGAAGGCGAUGCCCUGGGCCGCGACUGACGCUGAGACGCGAAAGCGUGGGGAGCGAACGGGAUUAGAAACCCCGGUAGUCCACGCUGUAAACGAUGCACACUAGGCGUUCGUGUGCCGAAAGGCAUGGGAGUGCCGCAGCUAACGCAAUAAGUGUGCCGCCUGGGGAGUACGGUCGCAAGGCUAAAACUCAAAGGAAUUGACGGGGGCCCGCACAAGCAGCGGAGCGUGUGGUUUAAUUCGAGGCUACGCGAAGAACCUUACCUGGGCUUGACAUCACGGUGGUAGUGAAGCGAAAGCGGAACGACCUUCGGGAGCC